GGCCAGAUAAGAGAAUAAAAGCAGGCUGCCCCCAAGCCAGCAGUAGCAAAGCUGUCCGUUUUGGUUUCUCACCGUGGAAGCUUUGUUCUUUUGGUCUUUUGUAAUAGGUCUUGCUGUUGCUCAGUGUUUGGGUCUACAUUACUUUUGGAGCUGUGGCACUCCGCGUGAAGGCUUGCAGCUUCACCCUUGAAGCCAGUGAGACCAUGAACCCACCAGGAGGAGUGAAGGCUGUCUUGUCUUAAGUAGUCCUACCGGCUGUAACGGUUGUUGUGAAAGUCUGUAUCCUCACUCGUGAGCCAGCAAGACCAUGAAUCAACUAGGAGGAAGAAACUCCGAACAUAUGCGAACAUCAGGAGGAACAAACUCUGGAUACGCUGCUUUUAAAAGUUGUAAUGCUCACUGAGCAGGUUUGCGGCUUCAUUCUUGAAGUCAGUGAGACCAAGAACCCACCAAUUCUGGACACAAAAUCUGUUUGCCUGUUUAGAGGCAUACUACGGGGUUACAUUAGAAGCCCACCGAGAUAAUCCAAUACAAUCUUCUGAUCUCAAAAUCCUUCACUUAAUGACAUCUUUGGCAACUUGAAAUAAUAAUCACAGGUGUCUGACUUUUAAGGUGAGAGAACUAAGUUGUGUGACUCCAAAAGAGCAGAAACCAGGAACUGGAGAAUGGAGGACCAAAGAUCAGAGAACAAACGGUUGUAAAUCUCUCACUCCAGCAUGGCCCACCGUAUACCUGGAGGAAAGGAAUGUCCCUAUCUGAAGACACAGAGACACCAAGAAGAAUCCGAACAGGACUUGCUAAGUUCCCUCCUGUUUAUAACCAUUAGCUAAUACCCUUUUACCCAAUCAUACUUCUGCAUGACUGUUCAUGAACAUACACAGUUUUCCCUGUUUCUUUGGAUCUUAAUUUCUGAAGGUUCCCGGGUCACAUAAAGCUUGUUUUGUUCUCUUUUGUUUGAGACAAGGUCUCACUCUGUCAGCCAGGCUGGAGUGCAGUGGUAUGAGCAUGGUUCGCUG
This 1016-nucleotide long non-coding RNA is filed under the name Homo sapiens (human). RNAcentral describes it as "non-protein coding lnc-DTNBP1-2:3". Lineage: Eukaryota; Metazoa; Chordata; Mammalia; Primates; Hominidae. The record is from RNAcentral.